CGAACCAGAGGACUUGUUAAAACAGAUUGUUGGACCCACACUGUGUUUCUGGAUUGGGAGUCAGGAGUAGGCCUGAGAAUGUGCAUUUCUAAUGAGUGCCCAGUGCUCCAGCCACUCUGGACACCCUGCCAGUCCUUGACUGCAUCCAGCAUGCCCCUGCUCAGAACCUCUGCACAUCUUUCCUCUGCCUGGGCUGAUCUCCCCCUGGAUGGCUGCAUGGCUGCUCGUGCUACUGUGUUCCAGGCAAGUUGGUCUCUGCUCUAAUGCCACUGCCCCAGAGGAUCCUCCCUCAGCCGCCCUUUAAAAAAUGGCCUACCUUAUCAUUUAUCUUUUCUUGCUUUUUCUUCAUUGUACUUAAUUCCCUCAAAAAUAAUAUAUAUUUUUACUAUCAGCUUUCACCUAGUUGGAACCUAUGAUCUUUAAAGGUGGGGGUCUUGUUCAGUGCUGUAUCCCCAGUGCUUAGAACAUGCCUGAACACAGGAGUUGCUAUCUGUUGCAUGCAUAAAUGAACUCAGAACAAGAAUGCCUGAUUUUCCAAUGUCCAUACCAGGUUUUACACAUCUUUAUAAUCUUUGCCAAUCCAGUAUGUGGGAAACAGUAUUCAUUUCAAUUUGUAUUUCUUGAGUAUAAGUGAGGUCGAGUAUCCUAUGAUGUUUUUUGGCUUGGCCUUCAGAAAACUAAUUUUUCUUUUCUUUUUUUUUUUUUUGAGACAGAGUCUUGCACUGUCACCCAGGCUGCAGUGCAGUGGCGCAAUCUCGGCUCACUGCAAGCUCCGCCUCCUAGGUUAACGCCAUUCUCCUGCCUCAGCCUCCUGAGUAGCUGGGACUACAGGCGCCCGCCACC
Molecule: long non-coding RNA, 843 nt
Filed under: Homo sapiens (human)
Lineage: Eukaryota; Metazoa; Chordata; Mammalia; Primates; Hominidae
Description: HSALNT0027190
Source: RNAcentral